Non-coding RNA from Caerostris darwini, 82 nucleotides. The record is from the annotation of a GenBank genome assembly. NCBI's taxonomy places the organism in Eukaryota, Metazoa, Arthropoda, Arachnida, Araneae, Araneidae.
GUAGUCGUGGCCGAAUGGUUAGGGCGAUGGACUAGAAAUCCAUUGGGAUCUCUCCGCGUAGGCUCGAAUCCUACCGACUACA